UACGUAGGGGGCUAGCGUUAUCCGGAAUUACUGGGCGUAAAGGGUGCGUAGGUGGUUUCUUAAGUCAGAGGUGAAAGGCUACGGCUCAACCGUAGUAAGCCUUUGAAACUGGGGAACUUGAGUGCAGGAGAGGAGAGUGGAAUUCCUAGUGUAGCGGUGAAAUGCGUAGAUAUUAGGAGGAACACCAGUUGCGAAGGCGGCUCUCUGGACUGUAACUGACACUGAGGCACGAAAGCGUGGGGAGCAAAUAGG
Molecule: ribosomal RNA, 252 nt
Filed under: uncultured bacterium
Lineage: Bacteria
Description: partial 16S ribosomal RNA
Rfam family: Bacterial small subunit ribosomal RNA
Source: RNAcentral